CCUACGGGGGGCAGCAGUGAGGAAUAUUGGUCAAUGGGCGCGAGCCUGAACCAGCCAAGUCGCGUGAGGGAAGACGGUCCUAUGGAUUGUAAACCUCUUUUGUCGGGGAGCAAAAGACGCCACGCGUGGCGUUCCGAGAGUACCCGAAGAAAAAGCAUCGGCUAACUCCGUGCCAGCAGCCGCGGUAAUACGGGGGAUGCGAGCGUUAUCCGGAUUUAUUGGGUUUAAAGGGUGCGCAGGCGGAAUAUCAAGUCAGCGGUAAAAUUGAGAGGCUCAACCUCUUCGAGCCGUUGAAACUGGUUGUCUUGAGUGAGCGAGAAGUAUGCGGAAUGCGCGGUGUAGCGGUGAAAUGCAUAGAUAUCACGCAGAACUCCGAUUGCGAAGGCAGCAUACCGGCGCUCAACUGACGCUCAGGCACGAAAGUGUGGGUAUCGAACAGGAUUAGAUACCCGUGUAGUC
RNAcentral lists this ribosomal RNA (459 nucleotides) under uncultured bacterium. RNAcentral describes it as "partial 16S ribosomal RNA". It matches the Rfam family "Bacterial small subunit ribosomal RNA", at positions 338 to 795 of the family's 1533-position model. The record is from RNAcentral.